RNAcentral lists this long non-coding RNA (913 nucleotides) under Equus caballus (horse). RNAcentral describes it as "lncRNA (ENSECAG00000050600.1)". The record is from RNAcentral. Lineage: Eukaryota; Metazoa; Chordata; Mammalia; Perissodactyla; Equidae.
AGAUCAUCCAUUGCAGUAUUCUGCUUGCUCAGUCUGUGGGGCCUGCUGCAGCAGCUGAUCCAGGUACCUAGGUCAUGACCUCACAGUGGCAAGGGCCUCUAUCCUUAAUGCUCUUCUGUUGCAUCAAACUGUAGGCUUCAGGUAGGCUAGUAGUGUUACUGACUUAUGGCCAUUUGCUGGCUCACCCUGUCUUUUUAUGACUCACAACAAAGAAGAUGGCACUGCUGCUCUCAGGGGAUGUUGUCUCCAUAGCCCAAAGGAGCCAGUUAACACAGUGGAGAGAAUGUUCAGAGAAACAGCCUUUCCACACUACAUCGACACAGACAUCAGCAUGAUGGAGCAACGAAAUGUGCUUUCUGUGGAAACUGGAACUGUGGUAAAUGCCCUUCAUGGAUUGUAUUAAUUAUUCACAGUGAUCUAUAAGCUAUUUUGAAAGACACUGGAGUUAGCAGGAAAAAAAAGAUCCAAUUCUCAAGAUACUUCCAGUCUAAUAUGACAAAAGGAUGACGCCUUUCUUUGCACAUUGAAGCUGAUGUACAAUUCUUUGUGGAUUACAAGCUUCUGUAAAACAGAGAGCAUGUUCUACUCUUUAUCCCCUAUUAUAGCAGCUAGAGGGCGAAGAAUAAAGCAGUUUAACUCUGCUGGGCAAUAAUCUAAUUUUUCACUUUUUCUCUGAAAAUGACCUGCCUCUCCUAAAGUGUUCAAUUCUUAGCAACCUUGUUUUUUGCACAGUACAAUUCCCUGGGGCUACAACUGAUCAGUCCAGAGGAGGAUCUAUUACCCGAGCUAGGCUAACCAGCCUCCUUCUCCAGGACAUUGGCUGGGGUGGACAGAAGAUCAGGCUCUCUCCAGACAGCAGAAAUGGUUGCAAGUAAACUCAUGCACUCAUGACAGCCACUCAUAGCAGCCCAAU